Molecule: long non-coding RNA, 200 nt
Filed under: Lathyrus oleraceus (garden pea)
Lineage: Eukaryota; Viridiplantae; Streptophyta; Magnoliopsida; Fabales; Fabaceae
Description: Pisum sativum (pea) long non-coding RNA (PSAT_LNC018332)
Source: RNAcentral
AACACUUUUGAACCAUUUGAAUGUCCUUGGUAAAUCCUUGUUUCAAUCUUUUGUGUCAUUGCUUUGGUUGUGAGGGUGAAAACUUUUGUUUAGGGACAAACAAAAUGCUAAGUUGGGGAGAGUUGUUAGGGACCAAUUAGUACUACUUUUUAUAUCAUUUUAUUGGUCCCUUUUACCAAGUUUUGAUGUAAUUACACAUU